CCCUGGUUAGCCCAGUUAGUAGAGCGUUCCACUGGAAAUGGAGAGGUCCCGGGGAACGAUACCUGGACCAGGCG
Non-coding RNA from Ixodes scapularis (black-legged tick), 74 nucleotides. The record is from Rfam. NCBI's taxonomy places the organism in Eukaryota, Metazoa, Arthropoda, Arachnida, Ixodida, Ixodidae.